Long non-coding RNA from Amblyraja radiata (thorny skate), 384 nucleotides. RefSeq lists it as uncharacterized. The transcript has 3 exons. Lineage: Eukaryota; Metazoa; Chordata; Chondrichthyes; Rajiformes; Rajidae. The record is from RefSeq and is a predicted model, not a curated record.
CAGUGAUGUGUUCCAAGUUCUUGCAAUUCUUAGCAUGUUACUCAAUAGAUGUGAUUGGUGCAGCCAGCUCUGAAAGGGACAAACCGCAGUGCCAGUUAGGAGGGAGGGUUGCUACAGAAUUAAGGGAGGGUAGUAGGAGAGUGGUCCUUGUAGGGUGCUGAAGUAAAUGGCCUGCAUUGUGAGGAGGUGCUGGCUGAAAGCUACCUGGUUAAGACAACUUCAACAGCUGAACCCUACCUUAUGACAAAUGUCUUGUUGCAGUGGCCAGAUACUACACUCAAGGCAACUCAGGUUGUCCAGGUCUUAGAUGUAAAGAGGCUGAUUCCUCAGGACUUGGACGGCACAUCGGUAGAGUUAUUGUCUUACAGCGCCAGAGACCUAGGU